Molecule: ribosomal RNA, 514 nt
Filed under: uncultured bacterium
Lineage: Bacteria
Description: bacterial SSU rRNA
Rfam family: Bacterial small subunit ribosomal RNA
Source: RNAcentral
UAGUCCACGCAGUAAACGAUGAAUGUUAGUCGUCGGGUAGCUAGUCUAUUCGGUGAUGCAGCUAACGCAUUAAACAUUCCGCCUGGGGAGUACGGUCGCAAGAUUAAAACUCAAAGGAAUAGACGGGGACCCGCACAAGUGGUGGAGCAUGUGGUUUAAUUCGAAGAUACGCGAAGAACCUUACCUGGCCUUGACAUAUUUUAGAAUUCUUUAGAGAUAGAGAAGUGCCUUCGGGAGCUAAUAUACAGGUGCUGCACGGCUGUCGUCAGCUCGUGUCGUGAGAUGUUGGGUUAAGUCCCGCAACGAGCGCAACCCUCGUCACUAGUUACUAACGGUUCGGCCGAGGACUCUAGUGAGACUGCCUUCGCAAGGAGGAGGAAGGUGAGGACGACGUCAAGUCAUCAUGGCCCUUACGGCCAGGGCAACACACGUGCUACAAUGGGUAGAUACAAACCGAAGCAAUACUGUAAAGUGGAGCAAAUCGGAUAAAACUACUCUCAGUUCGGAUUGUGGU